GAUGAACGCUGGCGGCGUGCUUAACACAUGCAAGUCGAGCGAGUGAGUUCUUCGGAACGAUCUAGCGGCGGACGGGUGAGUAACACGUGGGCAACCUGCCUCAUAGAGGGGAAUAGCCUCCCGAAAGGGAGAUUAAUACCGCAUAACAUCGUUGAAGGGCAUCCUUCGAUGAUCAAAGGAGCAAUCCGCUAUGAGAUGGGCCCGCGGCGCAUGAGCUAGUUGGUGAGGUAACGGCUCACCAAGGCGACGAUGCGUAGCCGACCUGAGAGGGUGAUCGGCCACAUUGGGACUGAGACACGGCCCAGACCCCUACGGGAGGCAGCAGUGGGGAAUAUUGCACAAUGGGGGAAACCCUGAUGCAGCAACGCCGCGUGAGUGAUGACGGUCUUCGGAUUGUAAAGCUCUGUCUUUGGGGACGAUAAUGACGGUACCCAAGGAGGAAGUCACGGCUAACUACGCGCCAGCCGCCGCAGUAA
Molecule: ribosomal RNA, 476 nt
Filed under: uncultured bacterium
Lineage: Bacteria
Description: partial 16S ribosomal RNA
Rfam family: Bacterial small subunit ribosomal RNA
Source: RNAcentral